ACCCUCUUCUUUCAGUCUACUAGUGAACUACACCAUAUAAGAGACUUGAUCAACGAGAGGCGUCUCUAUGCUCUCCACCAUUAAUUAAACCAAUCCAGAAUAAUGCCCCAAUUCAUUAACCUCGCUAUUUUACACAUUCAAGCUCUCAACUAACUAACAUAAAGUAUGUUUCUGAGCGGGCGGAACUACACUUUCUUGCAACAACCCUAGGCUACAAGUCAAUGGUAUUGCACGCAUUAUAAGUAACAAGAACUAUACGUCUCUAAACUUUCGACCAAUUACUAAAACGAAGCUUAGAGAAAUUCAGAAUGCAUCAACUUGUUCACAUCCCUCUCCUUUAAACGUAAUGCAGCUCUCAACUAACCAACAUAAGG
Molecule: long non-coding RNA, 374 nt
Organism: Arabidopsis thaliana (thale cress)
Lineage: Eukaryota; Viridiplantae; Streptophyta; Magnoliopsida; Brassicales; Brassicaceae
Product: other RNA
Exons: 1
Source: RefSeq